AUACGGAGGAUCCGAGCGUUAUCCGGAUUUAUUGGGUUUAAAGGGUGCGCAGGCGGCCAUUUAAGUCAGCGGUUAAAUCGUGGGGCUCAACCCCAUUCUGCCGUUGAUACUGGGUGGCUUGAUUGCGGUCGAGGUUGGCGGAAUUCGUUGUGUAGCGGUGAAAUGCACAGAUAUGACGAAGAACACCGAUUGCGUAGGCAGCUGACCAGACCGCAAAUGACGCUCAUGCACGAAAGUGCGGGGAUCGAACAGGAUUAGAUACCCUGGUAGUCCGCACAGUAAACGAUGAAUACUUGUUUUCGGCGAUAUAAUGUCGGAGGCAAAGCGAAAGCGAUAAGUAUUCCACCUGGGGAGUACGCCGGCAACGGUGAAACUCAAAGGAAUUGGCGGGG
RNAcentral lists this ribosomal RNA (392 nucleotides) under uncultured bacterium. Its description in RNAcentral is "partial 16S ribosomal RNA". It matches the Rfam family "Bacterial small subunit ribosomal RNA", at positions 523 to 918 of the family's 1533-position model. The record is from RNAcentral.